ACAGGGAUUGCCUCAGUAACGGCGAGUGAAGCGGCAACAGCUCAAAUUUGAAAUCUGGCUCCUUCGGGGCCCGAGUUGUAAUUUGCAGAGGAUGCGUCGGGUACGGGUGCCUUCCGAGUUCCCUGGAACGGGACGCCAUAGAGGGUGAGAGCCCCGUCUGGUAGGACACCCAGCCCGUGUGACGCUCCCUCGACGAGUCGAGUAGUUUGGGAAUGCUGCUCUAACGGGAGGUAUACUCCUUCCAAGGCUAAAUACCGGCUGGAGACCGAUAGCGCACAAGUAGAGUGAUCGAAAGAUGAAAAGCACUUUGAAAAGAGAGUCAAACAGCACGUGAAAUUGUUAAAAGGGAAGCGCUCGCUACCAGACUUGGGUUCGGCGGUUCAACCGGGGCCACGCCCCGGGGCAUUCCGCCGGCCCAGGCCAGCAUCAGCUUUCCGUCGGGGGUAAAGGCGUCGGGAAUGUGGCUCCCCUUCGGGGGAGUGUUAUAGCCCGUCGUGUCAUACCCUUCGGGGGGCUGAGGUACGCGCUUCUGCAAGGAUGCUGGCGUAAUGGUAGCUAGUGACCCGUCUUGAAACACGGACCAAGGAGUCAACCUUAUGUGCGAGUGCCCGGGCGUAAAACCCCAGCGCGGAAUGAAAGUGAACGUAGGUGAGAGCUUCGGCGCAUCACCGACCGAUCCUGAUGUCCUCGGACGGAUUUGAGUGAGAGCAUAUAGGGUUGGACCCGAAAGAAGAUGAACUAUGCGUGUGUAGGGUGAAGCCAGAGGAAACUCUGGUGGAGGCUCGCAGCGGUUCUGACGUGCAAAUCGAUCGUCAAACAUGCGCAUGGG
This 829-nucleotide ribosomal RNA is filed under the name Plectosphaerella cucumerina. Its description in RNAcentral is "partial large subunit ribosomal RNA". It matches the Rfam family "Eukaryotic large subunit ribosomal RNA", at positions 68 to 921 of the family's 3401-position model. The record is from RNAcentral. Lineage: Eukaryota; Fungi; Ascomycota; Sordariomycetes; Glomerellales; Plectosphaerellaceae.